This 2879-nucleotide long non-coding RNA is filed under the name Sus scrofa (pig). Its description in RNAcentral is "lncRNA (ENSSSCG00005000473.1)". Lineage: Eukaryota; Metazoa; Chordata; Mammalia; Artiodactyla; Suidae. The record is from RNAcentral.
AUUCUUUGCCAUUGGGGUUCGAGUUUUCACAGUACUGCUCUUGUUACUUACAGCUGUUAGAAUAUAGUUAGUUUACUCUGUUCUGGUCCAUAUUGCUUAUUAUUUGUCUCAGCAUACUUUGGUGGAGAAACAGUUUAUAAUCCUAAAUUGCCCUGACUGAAAGAGCUACCGAUAAUACCUAUUACUCUCCUAAACCAGUUUAGCGCAUGUUUUCUUUUAAAUGCCCCACAUGUAGUAAUUCUGAAUUCUUUUUUUAAUUGAAGUAUGAUUGAUUUACAAUGUUGUAUUAGUUUCCGGUGUACAAUUUAGUGAUUCAAUGUUUUUAUGGAUUAUACUCCAUUUAAAAUGGGCAGUUGUCCUGAAUUCUUGUGCAUAGUAUAAUAAGUAGGUUUAUUUUGGAGUGUGCACAGGUUACAGAGGUAGCAGAUCAGAACUGAAAUGAGGCCCAAACAGUUCAGCCCUGGUGUGAAGUUGUAUGGAAACUAUAAUUUUGGCCAUAAUAGAAGUAGUGUUGGUAGCUCACACUAUUGUUGGGUCAGGGUGGGAAUGGUGUGAUAUGUGGAUCAGAAAUAAUACUUCCAUAAGCACUGCUCUUGUUAGGGUACUGAUUUCAGCUGCCUCUAAGUGCAUAAAGAGUUUGGGUGUAGAUAGAGAUGAUUUUAGGAUUUCAGGCUUAUGUUGCAGAAGCUAUGGUUAUCAUAAACUAGUCUGGAUUUCUAUGUCCUGCCCUUCAUCCCAAGUCUCUCUGAUUUUUUGUGCUACUAUUCAAACUACAAGCAAUUAUCUAAACAACUCAAAGUCCUUUCCUUUCAUUUAAGGCUAAAGUAUGUAUCAUUUUUAAAGAAAGCAGUAAAAAUGAGUUAAGGCAUUACUUGGUAUUAAUCUGUGGGUAGUGCUGAGUAUGAUGCCAGAUGUAUGUAUGAUCUCUGCAUAGAUUGGCAGCUUGUCUUUUGAGGGGCAAAGUUAAAAUACCAAAACCUUUUUUAUUUUGAAAUAUAUCAGAUAACCUAAAAAGUACAGGAGUUACCUGGUGGGUCAGCAGGUUGAGAAUCCAGCAUUGUCAUUGCUAUGACUCAGGUUGUUGCUGUGGCUUGGGUUCAUCCCUGACCUGGGAAUUUCCAUAUUCGGGAGCAGCCCCCCCCCCCAAAAGUGCAGAAAAUAGCAUAAUGAGCCCCUGGUACCCCUCCCCAGCUUUAAGAAUUAAACAUUACAAAUUCAUUUGAAGCCCUCUGUGUACCUUUCUUGAGCCAUUUCCUCAUUUCCCCAGGGAAUUUGCUCUCUUCCUUUUUGCAGGAACUUUUCCAGGGGUGGCUUUUCCCUUUCCCUAGACCUGUGUACAUUUGUUUCUUUCUUCAGAGGUCACCACAGUCACCUUUCCAUUUUAAGUCUAUUGCAUGUUGUAUGCAACAGAGCAGUCUGACCAGGGGAGUUGAGAAUAAGUAUACAUGAGGUAGAAAUCUACCUUAAAAUCUAGACAGUGUAAUUUUAGGCUUUAGCACUGCACUAUAUGCAGAACAAAAUGGGCAAAGUAGAUGUGAGAGUAACCUAAUGAAAUAAUCAUUUUAGGAAGAUUAGUUUGGUAACACCAGUGUGGAGCAGCGGUCUGAAAAGGAAGUGUGAGUUGCUAACUGAUUUUUUUUCCCUUCUGAUAACCCUUUGUUAGUGAGAUUUUGUUCUGCUUCCAAACACUGUCUUGCAAGAAGAGAAGGGAACUGGUGGCAAAAUGCUUAAUUAGGAGUGUUUUUCAUUUUCGGGAUUUGGGGGAUUGCUUCUGCCCUGUUGACAGUGAAGUGAAUACGUAGUGGCUAUUAGAUUUCUACUUUCAGUAUUGGUGAUUUUUCCAUGUCCCAGUGCCAGAGAUGCAAGUCAAGCUGCCUGACCAUUUUCUUUGGGCUGUUGCAGCCCUCUGCUGGUCUACAGAAGUUGCACAGUUUAGAGCCUUGUAGGGCUGGAAAGAGGUCAGUAAGCCCAGCAACUCAUUUUUAGAAACGCAGAGCCUUAAAAGUCAUUUAUGCCAACUCUCUCCAUUGCAGAAGAGUUUUUAUAUACUGACCUUAACAAUUCUGGAAAUAAAUAUAUAUAAAGAUAGCUAUCAAAGGCAAAUAAAUAAUUAUAAAUACAACUGCCUGUAUUUCUUUCUUUAAAAAUUCUAAAUGUAUUGUUAGAAUGUAAUCUUUUAAGGUCCAGUGUUUGACAGUAAAAAAAAUCUUUUUGCCACUAAUCUCUUUUGUAACAUAAUCUAAUGAAGUAAUGAGAAUUUUCUUUUCCUUUCUUUUCUUUUUUUUUUUUUUUUGGUCUUUUUAGGGCCAUACCCGUGGCAUAUGAUGAUAGUUCAGAGCUAUAGCCACUGGCCACAGCAAGAGAAAUUUUUUUUUUUUUAUUUGAGGUAUUGUUAAUAAAAAAAUGAAAAAGUAAUUUAAAAACUUGAAGUAUUGUUAAGUUGUUACUAUUAGGUAGAUUACUAUUAGGGGAUAAAUAUAACAGAUAAAUGCUAAUUGCUUCUUUUAAAUUAUUGUCAAAGCAUUUUUACUUCUUGUUGCUAGAGCCAGAAACUUGAUGGUCAUUCUAGCCGCCUUGCUCUUGUUGACUCCUUCUUUCCACCACACAGUCUGGUUGUUACACUUGUCCCUGUCUCUCAUCUAGUUCCUCUUUAGUCUGAAUUCCAAAGUUUCACCAACAGCACCUUUUAAACAUGCUGCUCAAAUUGUGCCACUACCCUUUUUUAAAGCCUUAAAUUGCUUUUAUCAGAGUUAUCCUGUGGUGCAGUGGUUUAAGGAUCCAGCGUUGUCACUGCAGUGGCUUGGGUUGCUGCUGUGGCUUACUUAGGUUUGAUCCCUGGUUGGGAACUUCCACGUGGCACAGGCACAGCCAAAAAAAAA